Molecule: ribosomal RNA, 373 nt
Filed under: uncultured organism
Description: partial 16S ribosomal RNA
Rfam family: Bacterial small subunit ribosomal RNA
Source: RNAcentral
GGAGGGCGCGAGCGUUAUUCGGAAUUAUUGGGCGUAAAGCGCGUGUAGGCGGCUGGGAAAGUCGGAUGUGAAAGCCCGGGGCUCAACCCCGGAAUUGCAUUCGAAACUUCCCAGCUAGAGUCUCGGAGAGGAGGGCGGAAUUCCCGGUGUAGAGGUGAAAUUCGUAGAUAUCGGGAGGAACACCAGUGGCGAAGGCGGCCCUCUGGACGAUGACUGACGCUGAGACGCGAAAGCGUGGGGAGCAAACAGGAUUAGAUACCCUGGGUAGUCCACGCCGUAAACGUUGGGUGCUAGGUGUCGCGGGUAUUGACCCCCUGCGGUGCCGUCGUUAACGCAUUUAGCACCCCGCCUGGGGAGUACGGUCGCAAGACUA